AAAUGUUCCUAACUUACUAUGAGACUUACUUCAUGAAACUACAACUUCCUGGGACGCGUUUUUUUUUUCUUUCUUGGUGACUGCCAUAUUCAUUAGUGUCUUUAUUUAUUUAUUUUUUUGACACAGUACCAUGGUCGUGUCUUGCGUGUAAUUGGCUGAUGACUUAAAGAUGAGAUAAUUAACCCCUGGUCUCAAGAGGGUUCUAUUUAAGGAAGGAGAUAAGAAAGUACAUGUUAAGUGCCAAAUUAAUAUCACCGUAGAACCAACCAUAAGAUUUCAGAGUAAUGCUUAUCCGUGACAGUUGUGAGGACGAAACUCAGACCCUGCAGGACAGGGUGGACAUGGAGUAGCUCAGAGGAAGCCCAGCAGGGACAGUUUCAUGAUUUGGGGAAAGGCCACUCCCAAGGCACAGAGACCAUGAGGUAAAAGGCCAGAGAAAGGAGCAGGAGCACGGUGCACAGGGCCCGGGCGCAUG
RNAcentral lists this long non-coding RNA (475 nucleotides) under Bos taurus (domestic cattle). Its description in RNAcentral is "long non-coding RNA NONBTAT017284". Lineage: Eukaryota; Metazoa; Chordata; Mammalia; Artiodactyla; Bovidae. The record is from RNAcentral.